RNAcentral lists this ribosomal RNA (502 nucleotides) under uncultured bacterium. Its description in RNAcentral is "bacterial SSU rRNA". It matches the Rfam family "Bacterial small subunit ribosomal RNA", at positions 28 to 524 of the family's 1533-position model. The record is from RNAcentral.
GACGAACGCUGGCGGCGUGGAUUAGGCAUGCAAGUCGAACGGUAUCAUCCUUUCGGGGGUGAGAGAGUGGCGAACUGGUGAGUAACACGUAGGUUAUCUACCCUCAAGACGGGGACAACCCAGGGAAACUUGGGCUAAUACCGGAUGUGAGCAACUUUUUAGUUGUUUGAAAGGUGGCGUAAGCUGUCGCUUGGGGAUGAGCCUGCGUCCUAUUAGUUAGUUGGUGAGGUAACGGCUCACCUAGGCAAUGAUAGGUAGGCGGCCUUAACGGGUGGUCGCCCACACUGGGAUUGAGAUACGGCCCAGACUCCUACGGGAGGCAGCAGUCGAGAAUAGUCUACAAUGGUCGGAAGACUGAUAGUGCGACGCCGCGUGAACGAUGAAUCCCUUCGGGGUUAAAGUUCUUUUAUAUGUGAGCAGUGCUUCUUAUAUUAACAGUAUGGGGAAGAGAUAUUAGCAUAUGAAUAAGCAACGGCUAACUCCGUGCCAGCAGCCGGGUAAU